CCUGCACUUUAUCAUGUAUACGACUUAAUACUGAUGGUCAGUGUUACCUCACGACGCGCCCUGUUAGGGGAAGACGCGUCCUCCCAAAUUAUCAACCCUGGAAACAUGACUUUGGAACUCGGGGUGCGUCCAACUAGGAGGAGGCGCGUCUUUGAAGCAUCUCCCUUCUCAACCUUAUUAUCCUGGGGGCGCGCCCUCAUGCGCUUCCUCAAGUGAUGAGUACUUCCGAGAGGGCGCGCCCUAGGGAGGGACGUGACCUCUUCAAGACUAGUGAGCUCCUUCCUGAGUAUGUUUGUCUUCACAAAAUAUCAUAUGAAGCAAUUAAUGCAUCAGACAUACCAGAGGGCGCGCCCUGUCAGAGGGAGGCGCGCAAUUCGUUCUCUGAUAGAAUACUGGUUGGAUAUGGCGUACCCCUUUAGGAGGGCGCGCCUUGUUGGAGGAAAGUGCGACUACUCCUCACGGCGAAGAGGUGUAUUCCUCAUAAAGGUAACACCAUAUUACCUGUGAAUUUACACAUGUAGUAGUCUUAGGGAACCAAAUACUGGGGGAGUUUAGUAUUUACCUGAGGGCGCGCCCGGUCAGGGGAAGGCGCGCACCCUUACGACUUUUCGAGCUAGGUUCCAUCUCAAUAGCUCGCCCUUCGUAACCUUCCCGUUCAUAUCAUCACACGUGGUCAGGCCUUCAACAUGCGCCUCUCGCGAACCUCAAAUUACUUGCUCUGGGGAGGGCGCGCCCCUUCAGAAAACCGUUGAGGCUUCCAGGGAGGCGAUCUCCUUCUCGUAAAGACUCAAACCACAACAGACUUGUUAGCAAUAACAUGCGAAAGCAUUGUGAGAAUCUUACCCGGAGGUGCGCCUUCUUCGGAGGUGUUAGGGAAUUCGUUCCUCACGGUGGUAGUCGAGCACCACAUCACUUGGAGGCGUACCCUGUCAGGGGGAGGUGUACCCUGUCCGGGGGAGGUGUACUCUGUCCGGGGGAGGUGUACUCUCUCCGGGGGAGGCGUACCCUCUUCGUAGGUGUCAGGUCUCCGAAAAUCACAUCCUUCGCUGACUCCCCGGUCCAGAAAACCCUGAUCGCAAAUUAGGUUACCUCCUAGAAUUUCGUUGAUGAUCGUCCUCCUUCAAACUCCCGAUGGAGAUAUCGUCCUUUUUCUGAAAAAGUAGAUGAAGGUCUCCUCCUCUUUUGUGCUCUAGCCAUCGCCCUGCCGGAAAACGCUCCUCCUCUACGUGCGAAUCUCCGUCGUGUGACAUCUCUUCCUCCUAAGAUGAAGAUCUUGAAUAGCCCCUCCUUCUAGCGCCAAUUUGUUGAUAGAGGAAUUUGGUAAUCAACAAAGAUGAGGUUCAUGGCCGGAAUCAAGAUCCGUGACGGUGGUUUUGGUCGCCGGAGAGUGGUGGUUGUUUGUUUUAGGGGGUGGCUGAGAUUAGGGUUUUGAGUUGGUCUCACGUGCUCUCAACUCAUGAUCCCCCAAUGUGCCUACGUACCCCUAUAUUUAUAGGGGAUCAAGCCAUACGUAGUUCUAUUGAACCAGGAGUCCUAGUUUGAUCAGGACUAGGCCUCUUGGCGAUAAGGUCGGAGAUAGGCCGAAGGCCCAUCUUGGAGAAUCCUACUCCUGUUAGAAUUAGUCUUGAGUAUGACUACCUCAGACUCCUAAUCCAAAUAGAUCACGGAUUCAACGAUAUCUCCACUACGAGAGAUAGCAUCUACCACGACUCUUAUGGAGAAGUUAUCUGGGGGAGCCAUGACUAACCCCUCGAGGUGCAGGGACACGUCCUCACCUCUCGGUGAGGUCUUCAUCUUCAAACAAGGUAGACAAGGAGCCAAAUUACACGAUCGUCUCAAUCCCCCGAUGAGGGCUAACUCACCAGAAUACAGGAUCCAGACAUAUGAUCGGCCUUCGUGUUACCCCGGAGGGCCUUCAAGAGCCAUGAUCACCUCAAGCCCCCACACGAGGGUUAACUCGGCAGAUAGCAGGAUUGAGGAUUGUAGAUCAUGCCCGGAUGAGCCCGGGAACUAUCAGAUGAGCCUGAUAACUACCAAAUGAGCUUGGUAACUAGUCUUCAUAUCCCUCGGAAGGGUCGUCACGGAGACUCACUCAUCCUCUUUCUUUCAUCAUGUAUUUCAUAACUAUGCCUCUUCUGAGUCAAAGGACGCGCCCUGAUAGGGAGGACGUGUCCUUCCCAAUUCCCGUCUUCAUCCCUGUUUACUGGACAAGAGACCGCACCUCCCGGGCCAUGUCUGGGGAGGGCGCGUCCUUCCCUUAUCUUGUCUUCAAUCCUCCUUACUGGACAAGAGACCGCACCUCCCGGGCCAUGUCUGGGGAGGGCGCGUCCUCCCCUCCACAUGAUAUACAAAAACGGCUACAACACCUCGGAAGAGUCGUCGUAUCCCCCGGAGGGGUCGUCAUAUCCCCCCCGGAGGGGUAGGUCUUCCUAUCCCCGGAGGGACGGUCUUCGUCUCCCUCGGAAGGGUUGUCUCAGCGAAUGUACACUCUCCCAUAAGAAGAGCCUUCUUACAACACAUCAGACAGGUCCUUCUUUAACAUGAGGUCGCGCCCCCGGGGAGGCGAGGACACCCCGUUAAAGGCACGCCCUUGGUCUUCAUCUCAUUGUCAACUUCUUACAAGGGACGCGCCCCUCGGUCACCUCCGAAGAGGGCGUGCCCUCCUCCACAUAUUACAGGACGUGGGUGGACGGAGGUCGGUCGCGUCUCUCCAUCAACACUCUCAAGUAAGGCGUCCCUCCUUGUGACUCGGAGGACGCGUCCUUUUCAAGCAACACCAAGGGUCGGUCGCAUCCUCCCUUUAUAAGCAGGAGGACGCCUCCUCUUCACGCAACACCAAGGGUCGAUCGCAUCCUCCCCUUAUAAGCAGGAGGACGCGUCCUCUUCAUGGGACACGUGUGACCUGGAGGACACAUCCCUCCUUCCGACGCGGAGGACGCGUCCUCUUCAUUAAGAUACGCAACAUCGGCGGAUCAGUCGCGUCACGGAGGGCUGCGCCCUUCCGUUCAGACUAGUCUCUUCAAGGGUCGGUCGCGUCCUCACUUUAUAAGCAGGAGGACGCGUCCUUCCUUUAUAUAGGACUCUUAGCCCAAUUCAUGUCUUACUUAGUUAAACUAAGUACAUACUUGGCCCAACAAGGACCUAGCCAAAUUUGGCUAUAACAAGUACUCCCCAAAUUUUCUUGAUAUUGGAGAUAUCAGGGAAAUUUUUACUCCAUACCACACAUCCUCUUCCGAGAGCGCGUCCGCGCAUAGAGGCGUGACGUAAGCCACUUCUAUUCCUCGACAUUCCAAGAUGCAGGCUGUGCACAAGCCUUGCAUGUAUAUAAUGUCGGUGUCUUUGAUCAUUUAGCAAAGUUGCUAAGCAUGAGGCUGUCGCGUCUUCUUGAUGUGUUCAUAAAUAAUAAGCAAUCUUUAUGUAGACAAAAGAAAACAGGGGGCGCGGCCUAUCUGUCGUUGACAGUGGCGCAGCUUCGCUUAUUCCUUCCAAAGGACACAUUCAACCAUAACAUUCGCGCCAAUGAACUUCAACAAAAGAAGGGCGCGCCCUCGCUGUGCGAAGGUUUGGGGGUUUUUUUUUUUUUAGCCUUAGUGUGUCCAUGGUACCUGGGAAUAGUAAAUAUAAGGCGCGACUUACAGAGUGGCGCUGCCUUGUUAUAACAUGACCCCUUUUAAUUCUUUUUGUUAAAGAAUUGCCUAAGCAGAGGGCGCGGCUGAUGGCGCUGCCUUGCAAUAUUUCUUUUCUUUCAAGGACUGUAUAAGCAGAGGGCGCAGCCUUACUUGUAAUGUGGGCUCUUUUGAUCUUUUCCAAGGAUUAAGUAGAGGGCGCGGCCUUUGGCGCAGCUUUACUUUUUCACGCGUGAAUCACUUGCUUAAGAAAAUCAAGAGGACCACUCCCCAGUCCAUACAUCUUCCCAUAUGGGGCAUCACGAAUCUUAUCGUGGUUUACAUAACUCCGGUGCAUCGCACAGGUCCCAGAGCUCAUAGCUCAAUGGGGAAUGAAUAGUAUAAAAUGUUAUCCAGAGCAUAUCAUGGAUAUGUAAGAUCCAGAGCGUAUCAUGGAUGCGCAAGUAUAAUGUCCAGAGCGUAUCAUGGAUGCGCAAAUAUAGUAUCCAGAGCGUAUCAUGGAUAUGUAAAUAAUCAUAGCAUCCAGAGUAGAUCGUGGAUGACAUCCAGAGCGUAUCAUGGAUGGUUAAAAUUCAUAGUACCCAGAGCUGGUCAUGGAUAAUUUGGUAACCUUUGAAAGGCCUUAAGUGUACCUUGAUCAAAGACCUUGCAGGUAUCAUGCUACGUUCCUGUAGAACGGAGGGCGCGCCCUCAUCAAGAUGGACAGCUCCUUUAGCAUGUUGGACUUGACCUGCACUUUAUCAUGUAUACGACUUAAUACUGAUGGUCAGUGUUACCUCACGACGCGCCCUGUUAGGGGAAGACGCGUCCUCCCAAAUUAUCAACCCUGGAAACAUGACCUUGGAACUCGGGGUGCGUCCAACUAGGAGGAGGCGCGUCUUUGAAGCAUCUCCCUUCUCAACAUUAUUAUCCUGGGGGCGCGCCCUCAUGUGCUUCCUCAAGUGAUGAGUACUUCCGAG
RNAcentral lists this long non-coding RNA (4585 nucleotides) under Daucus carota (carrot). RNAcentral's name for it is "long non-coding RNA (DCAR_LNC002923)". The record is from RNAcentral. Lineage: Eukaryota; Viridiplantae; Streptophyta; Magnoliopsida; Apiales; Apiaceae.